UGCCGAGGAGCCAAUGUGCCGAGGAGUUUCAGAUGCAAUACUUCAGAAAUAACAUGAAGGGUGGGAUUAAGGCACCUGAAACUUCAGGGAACCAGAGGCAGCAGACACGACACAUGAUGUUGCUAUGAACCUGAGCCCCAGAGUAAGAGCUGGAGGCCAUCUGAAGUUCAAGCAGAAAAUCUAAGAUCCUGUGGAGAAGAACUUAAAGGCAUCUAGUGCUGAGGCUUACAUUCCAACAAGAGACUGGGAGCUUAAAAAUUAGGAGCUGUGGCACCUUACACGAAGGAAAAAAUAGUGGGGAUGCAAAGUCCAGUGUUAAGAGGUACAUGCUGCUACAGCACCAGACUUUGGCGAUCAGGACAUGGUUUAUAUAGCUGAGAGGCUGAGGAACACUCAGGACAGUUACCUGCCAGCUGGGUCACUCUGCUCCCAAAUACCUUGAAGUUCAUACUGUGGCAUGGUGAAAUGUGAAGCAAAUAGAUCUCUGAUAUGGGAAAUUGCUGUAAAGAAAAUAAA
Cyanistes caeruleus (blue tit) is the source of this 516-nucleotide long non-coding RNA. RefSeq lists it as uncharacterized. The record is from RefSeq and is a predicted model, not a curated record. Lineage: Eukaryota; Metazoa; Chordata; Aves; Passeriformes; Paridae.